GACGAACGCUGGCGGCGUGCUUAACACAUGCAAGUCGAACGGAAAGGCCCUGCUUUUGUGGGGUGCUCGAGUGGCGAACGGGUGAGUAACACGUGAGUAACCUGCCCUUGACUUUGGGAUAACUUCAGGAAACUGGGGCUAAUACCGGAUAGGAGCUCCUGCUGCAUGGUGGGGGUUGGAAAGUUUCGGCGGUUGGGGAUGGACUCGCGGCUUAUCAGCUUGUUGGUGGGGUAGUGGCUUACCAAGGCUUUGACGGGUAGCCGGCCUGAGAGGGUGACCGGGCAGAUGGGGGCAGCAGAGCGACCACGGCCCCAUCGGGGGGGAGGAGGGGGGAAUGUUGGAAAAGGGGGUGAAGGCUGUAGACGGCACGCCCCGGGGGGGAGGGGGGGCUUUGGGUUGUAAACCGGUUUGCCCCGUGAAGAAGGGUGGGGGGAGGUAAUGGGAUAAAAAGACCCCGAAAACUCACGGC
Molecule: ribosomal RNA, 469 nt
Filed under: uncultured bacterium
Lineage: Bacteria
Description: partial 16S ribosomal RNA
Rfam family: Bacterial small subunit ribosomal RNA
Source: RNAcentral